Molecule: transfer RNA, 74 nt
Filed under: Coniogramme japonica
Lineage: Eukaryota; Viridiplantae; Streptophyta; Polypodiopsida; Polypodiales; Pteridaceae
Description: tRNA-Arg
Source: RNAcentral
AAGUUGGUGGCUAAGUGAAGGGAAGCACGUGUCUUUAAAACGGAGAUCCGGGGGUUCAAAUCCCCACCGAUUCA